ACACCAGUGCGAUCAGCACGAUAGAGACAUCAAAUCCACGAUUUUGCUUCACCCCGUUUGAUCACGGAUUCGCGAUGAAACCCGUCCUCUCUCCAACUAAUCCAUAUAUCACACAUAGACCUAUGUAAAAACCCAAAAACUUAAAUUCAAAUUCAAAUUUGAAUUCCCUACCACCAGUAGGUACCAGAAACAUCUCUCACCCAACCCCAGGUCACAAGCACAGAGCACGAGGAGCUUUAUAAUGCAAGAAAAGUAAAGAGCGAAAACCCUCUUUUUGAUAAAACUCUUUUUUCUCGAAAACUGUGCCUCAAAUCUAAAAUCCGUCAGCACCAUUGGUUCCAGAAUAGCUGAACUGUUCAAAACGAGCUAUUGGAUCGGUAUGAACGGAGUCCAAUACGCGCCAGAAGCCAACUCUACUCAUCAGCCUCUCCGAAAAACUGGAGUUAGUAUUCACUUUAAGUGAUUAGUAUUAAUAGCGUAACUUCUCCAUUCUAACUCGUUUUCUCCUGAAACUUUACGAGUGCUUAUGUAAUUAAAUUACACACAAAAAUAUCGUCAACAGAGAGUUUAGCUACACUGCCAAAAUCUUAAUCCUUACAAUCUGGCUUAUCCAUAGAUUUUACAUUAAAAUUUAAAUUAUGAAUUAAAUUUAAUUUUGGAUAUCAAAUUUGAAUUAACCAUUAAAAAAUUUUAAUUAUAAUGGAUCAAAAUUAAAUUUAAUUUUAGCAAAUUUAAAUUUAUAAAUUUUGGAUAUCAAAUUUGAAUUAACAAUUAAAAUAUUUAAUUGCGGUUAAAUUUUGAAUUUUAAAGUAAAUGUGAAUUAAAUUUUGACGCUUUUAGUUUAAACAAUAUACUUAAAUUUUAAAGUUAUUAGAAUUCAAAAAAAUAUGAAAAUAAUAUAGGAUACUGCAGAUAUUUUCUAGUAUAAUAUAACAUAUAAAUUUCUAAAAUAUAAUUUUUGUUGUAAAUUUUUAUUGUAAUUUUUGUUGCAUAUUUUAUAUUUUUA
RNAcentral lists this long non-coding RNA (1006 nucleotides) under Ananas comosus (pineapple). RNAcentral describes it as "long non-coding RNA (ACOM_LNC043394)". The record is from RNAcentral. Lineage: Eukaryota; Viridiplantae; Streptophyta; Magnoliopsida; Poales; Bromeliaceae.